Molecule: ribosomal RNA, 459 nt
Filed under: uncultured bacterium
Lineage: Bacteria
Description: partial 16S ribosomal RNA
Rfam family: Bacterial small subunit ribosomal RNA
Source: RNAcentral
CCUACGGGAGGCUGCAGUGAGGAAUAUUGGUCAAUGGACGCGAGUCUGAACCAGCCAAGUAGCGUGAAGGAUGAAUGCCCUAUGGGUUGUAAACUUCUUUUAUAUGGGAAUAAAUUGUUCCACGUGUGGGAUUUUGUAUGUACCAUAUGCAUAAGGGUCGGCUAACUCCGUGCCAGAAGCCGCGGUAAUACGGGGGAUCCGGUCGUUAUCCGGAUCUAUUGGGUUUAAAGGGUGAGUAGGCGGGCAGUUAAGCCGGCGGUCAACGGUCGGGGCUCAGCCCCGGCCUGGCGGCGGUACUGGGUGCAUUGAGUGGGCGAGAGGUAGGCAGAAUGCGUGGUGUAGCGGUGAAAUGCAUAGAUAUCACGCAGAACCCCGAUUGCGAAGGCAGCAUACCGGCGCCCUACUGACGCUGAGGCACGAAAGUGCGGGUAUCGAACAGGAUUAGAUACCCGUGUAGUC